RNAcentral lists this long non-coding RNA (222 nucleotides) under Elaeis guineensis (African oil palm). Its description in RNAcentral is "long non-coding RNA (EGUI_LNC003052)". Lineage: Eukaryota; Viridiplantae; Streptophyta; Magnoliopsida; Arecales; Arecaceae. The record is from RNAcentral.
UUCUUAUAACCAUAAGUUUGAUUUUUCAUGUUGGUCUGUUGUUAUCAAGAUUUUGAAUCAUGUCUGGAGCAAGAUAAAACGCUUUUUUGUUCUAAUAAAAACCAGAAAACUUCAGUAAACAAUUAUUAAGUCAUGUCUAAAAAUCUACAGUAUGAAAGGAAGGCAACUCUGUUAUCAGGUCUACUUUAUCAGUUUUAUAUUUCCAAACCGUCUCAUUCUCCC